RNAcentral lists this long non-coding RNA (882 nucleotides) under Homo sapiens (human). RNAcentral's name for it is "non-protein coding lnc-PLEKHG6-3:1". Lineage: Eukaryota; Metazoa; Chordata; Mammalia; Primates; Hominidae. The record is from RNAcentral.
GUAAAAUGCAAUCUUAGUGGAGCGCUGACUAUACGCCAGGCACUAUUUUAGGCACUUUGCAUGCACCUUGUGAGUGGGAGGCCCAGCAGAGCUGACUUGUGAGUUCUGGGACUUUUGGAGAGUCCCUGCGUCCGUCCGUGGGCGGGAUCUCCAAGGUGAGGCCGGUGGCCCAGGUUUGGCAAGUUUUCUGCAGCUUUAACACACUCGGCUUCUGAGCCAGAUCCUGUCAGGACACCUUCUUCAACCUGCCAAGCGGGGACCCACCCAGGAGUUCCUAUUUUUUCCUGAUUUGCUCUGAGAAGAGGCCGAAACACCGGGAGCCCAGCUUCUCCGGAGCUGCCUGCUCACGAGGCUGCACUCCCUCUGGCCUCUGCCACUCCCUCCCGGCUGGGCUGAAACUGCUCUUGUCCAAGUCACCAACAGCCUCUGCGCUGCCUGCCGAGCACAGUGGGUGCCUCGUCCUCUCCCCAUCGUCCUUCACAGUGGUCGCCUCCAUUGUAGGCCGCUCCCUGCUCAGUCAGCUCCUGGCACUGAGCCUCCUGCUUUUCCUCCCACUCUGUGCCUCCUCCACCCAACUCUAAGCAUCAGGGGCUGGUCUCGGCCCCCUUCCUCUCCAUUUGCAAUCUGCCUAGGCCUAGGCCAUCGCUUACCUUAGAUACCAUCCCCAGCACCUUGACUCCCAAAGUCUCUCUCCGGCACAGACUUCCAUUCAGCUCAAGACUCAUACCUGACUGCCUACUUGACCUCACCACUUGAAAGCCUCCAGGACCUUAAAACAGAGCCUCACUGUCCACCCGUCCCAUCAGCAGGCCCACACCACAUGACAGGCCAGCCCCACUGUGACCCACACCACAGAACACCCUUGCACUUUUCACUGCGCCC